GAAGCUGGAAGGAUCCAGGAAGGGUUGCAAACGUCCAGGGAGAGCAGCCUCCCCUCUCCAAGCCCAGCCCUCCUGCUGGGUCCCAGUCUGCGUGGGAGAAUCAAAGUAAACAAGCAAAAGUGAGCUGCAGUUGUCGAAGGUCUCCGCACCUACCUUUCCGGACCAGGAAGGAAGAAUAGUGCUGCAGGUGCCACAUCUAUCAGUCUCAAAGGAUGGUAUUUUCCCCACCGUAUUCGUCAUCUAUUUCACUUUUUAAAUGAACCAGGAAAAAAAUAUAUAAGGUCGAAAAACUGAAGAAUGGAGGAUGUUGAAGGCCAGCAGGACACUGUAUGGUUAAAAGGGCAAUUUGGAGGUGCUUAGGGGCCAGCUCCAGGGACAAGGGGACAGGAGGCAGCCAGUUGCAGUAGAGGUGGUGGCUGGACGCAUCCUUUCCCCGCACCCACGGACCCUGGGCGCUCCCGUCUUCCAGCAGGAAGUGGUCCCCAGCAGUGCCGUGGCUGGCCCGCGUUUGAUUCUCCUCGCCUUUCCCUUUUCCCUUUGACAGCUCUUCAUUUUGACUCCACUCCUUCGCUGGUGCCGGGCAGGCGCUCGCAAGACCACUUGGAUUUUCUUUCCUCUCUCUGCGUCCAGUAAAUUUUCUCACGUUUAAUGUGAAAACAAGCAGGCUGAGUUCGUGUGUGGUGAGGCAGACGCCCAGCGGUUUGGCGGACUUGGGUUUACGGGGCAGAGGCCCAGCCUUGCCAGAGCCUGCCUGAUGUGGUGCAGCGGAACAGAUGUGGGGGCGCUCGCUGCUUCCCCAAGUGGGUGUCAGAGCGAACCUGCAGCCUCCAGCAAUAAGAAGCCGAGGCCUCCAGGGCUGGCAGCGUUGCCCGGAGAGGCUGCUGGACACACAGGGAAUGUGCCCACGCGCCCCUCCUUCCUAGCAGGGCUACCGGCUUCCCACCUUGUUAACCCGAGUCACAGUGCAGGGUGGCAAGGAAAACCAGGGAUUUUUUCCCCCCUUACUACACAAACAGGAUAUGCCAAAAAAACGGAAGUAUCAAGAAAAGUUAAAGGGCCGGGGAUUUAGCUCAGCGGUUCGGUGGGUGACCUACCUUGCAAGCACAAGGAC
Fukomys damarensis (Damara mole-rat) is the source of this 1111-nucleotide long non-coding RNA. RefSeq lists it as uncharacterized. The record is from RefSeq and is a predicted model, not a curated record. Lineage: Eukaryota; Metazoa; Chordata; Mammalia; Rodentia; Bathyergidae. The transcript is spliced from 3 exons.